GUAAAGCCAGACUUUCCAGGCUGAGAGAGAGGCAACUGAACAGCAAUAUAAUAAAAAGCAAGAAUGACAUAAAAAAGUGCAUAGAGAGCUAUUAUUAAUGGUAGCUUCUAAUAAAAUAUCCAGGAAUCAUCACAUCAAAAUGUGAGGUGGCACAAGCAAAAGGAGAUGCUGCUUAACCCAUCUAAACCUUCAGACUCCUUGCUAUAGGGUGUAGAUCAUUUACAUGAAUUCAAAAAGCAACUGGACAAAUGGAAAAAAGCCCUCACCAGGGUGCUGGAAGAGUAUUCUGUGAAAGCAUCACCAAAUGGUCACUCUGUUCUUUUCCUCUGCUGCAGGUAUCCACUGCUGACCACUGUUGGAGACUAUCAUCUAUUGGCUGCUGUCACUGAAAUAUAUCCACUCAAGAUGGCUGCACAGCACACUGGGAUCUUCACAUUUGUUAUUAUUAUUCACUUAUUUAUGCAGAUAACAUGCUGAUUCCCCAGGAUGAUAAGGCGUUUAUAGCAUCUCAAUCUUUGA
This is a long non-coding RNA of Dromaius novaehollandiae (emu), 519 nucleotides long. RefSeq lists it as uncharacterized. NCBI's taxonomy places the organism in Eukaryota, Metazoa, Chordata, Aves, Casuariiformes, Dromaiidae. The transcript has 2 exons. The record is from RefSeq and is a predicted model, not a curated record.